This 584-nucleotide ribosomal RNA is filed under the name uncultured eukaryote. RNAcentral describes it as "eukaryotic LSU rRNA". The stretch from base 187 to 339 matches the Rfam family "5.8S ribosomal RNA". The record is from RNAcentral.
UUCCGUAGGUGAACCUGCGGAAGGAUCAUUACAAAAAUAAUAUCCAACUCAACCAAGCUUAUAGUUGUAGUAGUAGUUCGCUGCUGCUUCAACAACAUACAAAACUAAGUAUUUGCAUCGUCCAUGGUAGUUUUUUACUCCAAACUUACCAAAAGAAAUCUAAUCUAGAACCAACCACAAAAACCAAAUUCUCAACGGUGGAUGUCUUGGUUCCCACAACGAUGAAGAACGCAGCGAAGUGCGAUAAGCAGUGCGAAUUGCAGAACCGUGAGUCAUCAGAUUUUUGAACGCAACUGGCGCCGUGUGGGGUCACCCACCGGCACGCCUGGUCCAGUGUCUUAUUUUCUCAUCACCAAAAUCAUAAUGCAAGAGAUACCCUUCUCUUGUUAAGCAUGAAAGCACUCUGCGACUGCGAGCAGCCUUUUAGGUUGCACUCAAUGCAGCUGUCACAUUUUCUAAUGUGAACUCAUUGAGAGUGGAAGCAGUGCAGCGUAAGCUGCCAGUGUUUAGACAAUCAAACUUUGAUUUUGUAUCUGGGCUCAGGUGGGACCACCCGCUGAACUUAAGCAUAUCAAUAAGCGGAG